Molecule: ribosomal RNA, 253 nt
Filed under: uncultured bacterium
Lineage: Bacteria
Description: partial 16S ribosomal RNA
Rfam family: Bacterial small subunit ribosomal RNA
Source: RNAcentral
UACGUAGGGGGCAAGCGUUGUCCGGAUUUAUUGGGCGUAAAGAGCGUGUAGGCGGCUUGGUAGGUCCGUUGUGAAAACUCGAGGCUCAACCUCGAGACGCCGAUGGAAACCACCAAGCUAGAGUCCGGAAGAGGAGAAUGGAGUUCCUGGUGUAGCGGUGAAAUGCGCAGAUAUCAGGAAGAACACCCGUGGCUAAGGCGGUUCUCUAGUACGGUACUGACGCUGAGACGCGAAAGCGUGGGGAGCGAACAGG